AAUACUCCUGACUGACCGAUAGUGAACCAGUACCGUGAGGGAAAGGCGAAAAGAACCCCGGCGAGGGGAGUGAAAAAGAACCUGAAACCGUGUACGUACAAGCAGUGGGAGCACCUUCGGGUGUGACUGCGUACCUUUUGUAUAAUGGGUCAGCGACUUAUAUUCUGUAGCAAGGUUAACCGUAUAGGGGAGCCGCAGGGAAACCGAGUCUUAACUGGGCGUUAAGUUGCAGGGUAUAGACCCGAAACCCGGUGAUCUAGCCAUGGGCAGGUUGAAGGUUGGGUAACACUAACUGGAGGACCGAACCGACUAAUGUUGAAAAAUUAGCGGAUGACUUGUGGCUGGGGGUGAAAGGCCAAUCAAACCGGGAGAUAGCUGGUUCUCCCCGAAAGCUAUUUAGGUAGCGCCUCGUGAACUCAUCUUCGGGGGUAGAGCACUGUUUCGGCUAGGGGGUCAUCCCGACUUACCAACCCGAUGCAAACUACGAAUACCGAAGAAUGUUAUCACGGGAGACACACGGCGGGUGCUAACGUCCGUCGUGAAGAGGGAAACAACCCAGACCGCCAGCUAAGGUCCCAAAGUCAUGGUUAAGUGGGAAACGAUGUGGGAAGGCACAGACAGCCAGGAUGUUGGCUUAGAAGCAGCCAUCAUUUAAAGAAAGCGUAAUAGCUCACUGGUCGAGUCGGCCUGCGCGGAAGAUGUAACGGGGCUAAACCAUGCACCGAAGCUGCGGCAGCGACACUAUGUGUUGUUGGGUAGGGGAGCG
RNAcentral lists this ribosomal RNA (766 nucleotides) under Klebsiella pneumoniae. RNAcentral describes it as "partial 23S ribosomal RNA". It matches the Rfam family "Bacterial large subunit ribosomal RNA", at positions 469 to 1238 of the family's 2925-position model. The record is from RNAcentral. Lineage: Bacteria; Pseudomonadati; Pseudomonadota; Gammaproteobacteria; Enterobacterales; Enterobacteriaceae.